UGCCAGUGAUAAACUGGAGGAAGGUGGGGAUGACGUCAAGUCAUCAUGGCCCUUACGACCAGGGCUACACACGUGCUACAAUGGCAUAUACAAAGAGAAGCGACCUCGCGAGAGCAAGCGGACCUCAUAAAGUAUGUCGUAGUCCGGAUUGGAGUCUGCAACUCGACUCCAUGAAGUCGGAAUCGCUAGUAAUCGUAGAUCAGAAUGCUACGGUGAAUACGUUCCCGGGCCUUGUACACACCGCCCGUCACACCAUGGGAGUGGGUUGCAAAAGAAGUAGGUAGCUUAACCUUCGGGAGGGCGCUUACCACUUUGUGAUUCAUGACUGGGGUGAAG
Molecule: ribosomal RNA, 336 nt
Filed under: Klebsiella variicola
Lineage: Bacteria; Pseudomonadati; Pseudomonadota; Gammaproteobacteria; Enterobacterales; Enterobacteriaceae
Description: bacterial SSU rRNA
Rfam family: Bacterial small subunit ribosomal RNA
Source: RNAcentral